This is a non-coding RNA of Vicia faba (fava bean), 363 nucleotides long. The record is from the annotation of a GenBank genome assembly. NCBI's taxonomy places the organism in Eukaryota, Viridiplantae, Streptophyta, Magnoliopsida, Fabales, Fabaceae.
AUGACAGUAGCAAAAAUGCAAAAGUGUUCACAGAAUCAAAAAGCAAGCAUGUAUAUAAAGCGAUUGGAAGAAAUAAAGGUUACCGAUAUGAGGAAAUCAAUAGCACUUUCAGUGAAGGCGAAAUCAGCAGUUUACGGAAAGAAAAAUGGAAGGUGGCGAUGGUUGGAUGUGUUACCGUUAGUGGUUUUGAAGAGACUGAGGAGAUAUUCUGGGCAAAGGUAUUUUGGGCUAUUGUAUGGUGUAGGGCAUCAACAGUUUUGGACUGCUUUGUGCAGUUUUUUAUUGGACUGUAAUGCAAAUUUUUAUUUGGACAAGUCUUGGCAAGGGCUGUUUCGAAAGGGUGAGCAUGAAGUUUGGACAUGA